RNAcentral lists this long non-coding RNA (3128 nucleotides) under Xyrichtys novacula (pearly razorfish). The record is from RNAcentral. Lineage: Eukaryota; Metazoa; Chordata; Actinopteri; Labriformes; Labridae.
GAGGAGGAGGAGUGUUAAAGAGAGGCGGAGCAACUCUGACUGGUGAGGAAAAGGGGGGGGAGGAGGAGGAGGAGGAGGAGGAGAAGGAGAUGAAAGGAGGAGGAGGAGGAGGAGGGCGAAUGGAGGAGGAGGAGAUGAAAGGAGGAGGAGGAGGAGAUGAAAGGAGGAGGAGGAGUGUUAAAGGAUGGUGGUCGGCUCUUUCAUCUCGAACUCCAUCACGUCUCUCUUCCAUCGUUGCGUUCUGUCUGACUGCGGCUGCAGGAAACUCCGCCCCCUCUGUGGUCUCCUCCACCCGCCCCUCCCUCUGAUUCACUUCCUGUCUGACAGAGGGUGUAGAGUCACAUGACCUCUGCUCUGUGAUCAGGAGAGUCCAAAACCGCUCUCACCGCCAUCGUCUGCUUUUGUGCUGAUCGGUUCCCUUAUUGAUCCUCCGACUCUGAAACAACGAGGUGAUCAAUCGUUAGAGGGAGUCGGUGUAACGGACGACCAAGAGAGUCCUCAGGGUGGUCCAGAACCAGCUCGGUACUGUGAGGGUCAUAGAAGUGUUAAAAACUGCAGUACCAUCAGUGUCCACUAGAGGCUGGCUGUAGAAACACUGAAGACCACAUACACACCCAUGUUAGAGCUGUGCAUUGUGGGUAAGAGUGUGUUAGGGAGUUUGGUCAGCUGACAUGCUGCGUCCUUCAUCAUGACCAUAUUAGGACUUCCUGAUAGGAUGGUGGGCGGUUCCCAACUGAGUCCACGUUCAAAGACGGCUGAAGACCCGGUUCUUUAGAGGACCGGUCUGUAAUGAGUCCUCCAGAUCCAGCUGACUCUGUCCUGAUCUACUCUGAAUACUCAGUGCUGGAGGGACCCGGUACUUUGGUACUCUGGUACUUUGGUACUUUGGUACUCUGGUACUUUGGUACUUUGGUACCUUUGGUACCUCUGGUACUUUGGUACUCUGGUACUUUUGUACUCUGGUACUCUGGUACUCUGGUACUCUGGUACUUUGGUACUCUGGUACUUUGGUACUUUGGUACUCUGGUACUUUGGUACUUUGGUACUUUGGUACUUUGGUACUUUGGUACUCUGGUACUUUGGUACUUUGGUACUCUGGUACUUUGGUACUUUGGUACUCUGGUACUUUGGUACUCUGGUACUUUGGUACUUUGGUACUCUGGUACUUUGGUACUUUGGUACCUUUGUGGUGAAGAGAAGUUCACCGAUGAUGAAACCAUCUGAACUUGAUUCUUUGUUGACGAUCACUGUCGGUCAUUUCCUGUAACACUUCAGCGUGGCGGAACCUGAGUCCAAAUGGACCUGAUGGACUCCAUCUGUGUGUGUGAGAGAGAGAGAGAGAGAGAGAGUGUGUGUGUGUGUGUGUGUGUGUGUGUGUGUGUGUGUGUGUGUGUGUGUGUGUGUGUGUUCACCAGCAGCAGUCAUGAUAUCAGACGGUCUGUCAGCCUGAAUCACUUCAGUGCUCCUCAUGUACCGACUGGACCUGCUGCCAUCAUCGGUCACUCUCACACACACUCACACACACACACACACACACACACACACACACACACACACACUCUCACUCUCACACACUCACACACUCACACACACACACACUAGCUAAAUGUCAACAGAGGAGUGAAUUUCCUGCGAACACGUCUGCAUCAGUCUUUCCAAACAAACGCCGUUCUUCAUCUUCAUCAUCAUCUUCAUCUGUGAAAAACCCAGAUGUGACCACAGACGAGUUUUGAUUAGAGGUGUAGGAGUCACUGCUUUUAUUCAAUAAUGAGGAAAAUGAACGAUGAGAGGAUGAAUGAACGAUGAGAGGAUGAAUGAGAGGAUGAAUGAGAGGAUGAAUGAACGAUGAGAGGAUGAAUGAACGAUGAGAGGAUGAAUGAUGAAUGAGAGGAUGAAUGAGAGGAUGAAUGAACGAUGAGAGGAUGAAUGAGAGGAUGAAUGAUGAAUGAGAGGAUGAAUGAGAGGAUGAAUGAACGAUGAGAGGAGCAGAAAAGUCUGAAGGUCUGAGGGGACCACAGAGACCUGGACUUCAUUCAGAGUUCCUCUUCAGUCUCAGUCCUCAGAUAAAGUCUGAUUAUGAGAGGUCAUGUGGAGAUCAUGUGGAGGUCAUGUCAGGGUCAUGUCGGGGUCAUGUCAGAUCAAUGUUUCUAACCCCCCCCCCUCAUGUUUAUAGUCCUCAGGUAUCUAAACUUCCUGUCUGUGAUGUGUGCUGACUCUGCAGACUCUGCUGGUUUCUCCACAGACUCGGACGUCCUGCUGAUCCCUCCUCCUGCUCCUCCUGGUCCUCCUGCUCUCACUCGGAUGUUUCUGUAAAAAGAGGAGGUCCGUUUGUUUGUUUUGGACCGGAGCAGCAGCUGUUACAGAGCGACAUCGAGCCUCGGCGCUCGGUGACCAGCUGGACGCCACGCCGCAGGAAUCCCAAACGAGCCGGAGAGACGGAGAGGAAGCAGCAGAUGUUCUCCAUGAUGAGUCUCCUCUGUCUGCCCUCAGGCUCGCUCGCUCGCUCUCGCUCUCUCUCUCUCUCUCUCUAAUUAAAGCUACAUUUCUUUAAUUUAAUCAUCUUAAAAUUUCUUUAAUUUAAAUAAAUUUAUAUCAAAUUAAUUUAAAUCAACUUUAAUUUCUUUCAUUGAUAAAAAAAUCCUGAGAUUUCAAACACGAACACAAAGACAGUUUUACAGCUGACCUCUGACCUCUGACCUCUGCAGGGAGGCGUGUGAAUGUGUCCGACCCACAAAGAGGAGGCGGAGCUUUACUGUCCACACGCACAGACCGCCAAAGUGAAUUAUGGGUAAAAAGUAACUGCAGUGAGAAGUUUUUUUGACUGAAAGAUAAAAAGUCAGUUUGACUCUGGACCAGGAGAAGCUCAGGUUCACUCACGCGGUCUCUCACAGAGACCUGAACCUCUGAGAGGCUCCGCCCCCUUUUACACACGCUCAUCCCGUCCUGGUUCUGGUCUGGACGGUCCUGCAGGGUCUCCGGAACAACCCCAGUACACACACAAACACACACACACACACACACACACUCCCCUGUCCUCGUUCGUCCCUCCUCUCUCAGCACGUGCCUCGGCAUCACGCGCUCGCGCAGCCUCUGAUCGGUUUGGAUCGAUUUUCUGCCUCUGAUCGGUU